RNAcentral lists this ribosomal RNA (435 nucleotides) under uncultured bacterium. RNAcentral's name for it is "partial 16S ribosomal RNA". It matches the Rfam family "Bacterial small subunit ribosomal RNA", at positions 29 to 507 of the family's 1533-position model. The record is from RNAcentral.
AACGAACGCUGGCGGCAGGCCUAACACAUGCAAGUCGAGCGGACAUCUUCGGAUGUUAGCGGCUGACGGGUGAGUAACGCGUGGGAACGUGCCCUUUGCUUCGGAAUAGCCUCGGGAAACUGGGAGUAAUACCGGAUGUACCCUUUGGGGGAAAGAUUUAUCGGCAAAGGAUCGGCCCGCGUUGGAUUAGGUAGUUGGUGGGGUAAUGGCCUACCAAGCCGACGAUCCAUAGCUGGUUUGAGAGGAUGAUCAGCCACACUGGGACUGAGACACGGCCCAGACUCCUACGGGAGGCAGCAGUGGGGAAUCUUAGACAAUGGGGGAAACCCUGAUCUAGCCAUGCCGCGUGAGAGAUGAAGGCCUUAGGGUUGUAAAGCUCUUUCACCGGGGAAGAUAAUGACGGUACCCGGAGAAGAAGCCCCGGCUAACUCCGUG